AGUGAACGCUGGCGGCGUGCCUAAUACAUGCAAGUCGAACGGAGUGGCGCACGGGUGAGUAAUAUAUAGCUAAUCUGCCCCUUGCUGGAGGACAACAGUUAGAAAUGACUGCUACUACUCCAUAGCAAUGGAUGAGACUAUAUCGUAUCAGCUAGUAGGUGGGGUAACGGCCUACCGAGGCUAUGACGCGUAACUGGUCUGAGAGGAUGAUGAGUCACAGUGGACGGUAGACACGGUCCAAACUCCUACGGGAGGCAGCAGUAGGGAAUAGUGCCCAAUGUGGGAAACCCUGACGCAGCAUCGGCGCGUGGAGGAUGACACUUUGCGGAGAGUAAACUCCUUUUGUUAGGGAAGCGGUACCUAACGAAUAAGCACCGGCUAACUCCGUGCCAGCAGCCGCGGUAAUUC
This 408-nucleotide ribosomal RNA is filed under the name uncultured bacterium. RNAcentral describes it as "partial 16S ribosomal RNA". It matches the Rfam family "Bacterial small subunit ribosomal RNA", at positions 29 to 526 of the family's 1533-position model. The record is from RNAcentral.